Molecule: unclassified non-coding RNA, 256 nt
Filed under: Hevea brasiliensis (rubber tree)
Lineage: Eukaryota; Viridiplantae; Streptophyta; Magnoliopsida; Malpighiales; Euphorbiaceae
Source: RNAcentral
GACUCGCGUUUCAAAGAAUCCUUGAGAACAAGAACGGGAGCGUUCAUCUUUUAACUACCCUUCUUCUUGUAUUAACAAGGCGGAUCUUUGUAUUAAUGCCCAAUAGAAAAAACUAGUUUGUUAAAGGUUGCCAGAGUGGUGGUGAUCGACGGCAAUUAUAGGUUCUGGUCAGAAAGUCGGUGGGGAUAUCAGACGGCGGAGAAGAAAUGGCGAGGCCGACAAUGACCCUUUCCGGCAGCAUCAAGACCCACCAUCA